This is a ribosomal RNA of Panthera pardus (leopard), 119 nucleotides long. The record is from Ensembl. NCBI's taxonomy places the organism in Eukaryota, Metazoa, Chordata, Mammalia, Carnivora, Felidae.
GUCUACGGCCAUACCACCCUGAACAAGCCCGAUGUUGUCUGAUCUCGAUAGCUAAGCAGGGUCGGGCCUGGAUAGUACUUGGAUGGGAGAAAAUUCACAAAUAAGGACAUUUCUAAACA